UUGACCUCGGAUCAGGUAGGGAUACCCGCUGAACUUAAGCU
This 41-nucleotide ribosomal RNA is filed under the name Rhizoplaca chrysoleuca. RNAcentral's name for it is "partial 26S ribosomal RNA". The record is from RNAcentral. Lineage: Eukaryota; Fungi; Ascomycota; Lecanoromycetes; Lecanorales; Lecanoraceae. RNAcentral also lists the same sequence under 1 other name.